AUCCUUUCGCAGAGGCAAUUUCAUAGUCUGUGAAGUCUUACUGAGACGUGGUUAUUGCUGGUUGAAAACUUCACCCAAUACCCCGCCUUGAUGACUUGAAACAUAGUCAGCUAUGGCAAUUUUUGUAAGUCUCUGAGGAGA
This is a small nuclear RNA of 141 nucleotides. Its record names the gene U4. It matches the Rfam family "U4 spliceosomal RNA". From Rfam's summary of the family: U4 small nuclear RNA (U4 snRNA) is a component of the major U2-dependent spliceosome. The structure of U4 snRNA from yeast and human has been reported. U4 snRNA presents a k-turn RNA motif in the 5p-SL related to recognition of Snu13 protein. The record is from Ensembl.